CCUACGGGAGGCAGCAGUGGGGAAUAUUGCACAAUGGGGGGAACCCUGAUGCAGCAACGCCGCGUGGGUGAAGAAGUACUCCGGUAUGUAAAGCCCUGUCAGCAGGGAAGAAAAUGACGGUACCUGACCCAGCAGCCCCUGCUAACUACGUGACAGCAGCCGCGGUAAUACGUCGGGGGAACGCGUUAUCCGGAUGUACUGGGUGAAAAGGGAGCGUAGACGGCAAGGCAUGUCGGGAGUGAAAGCCCGUGGCCCAACCACGGGACUGCUUUGGAAACUGAGUGGCUGGAGUGCAGGAGGGGUAAGCGGAAUGCCUAGUGUAGCGGUGAAAUGCGUAGAUAUUAGGAGGAACACCGGUGGCGAAGGCGGCUUACUGGAC
RNAcentral lists this ribosomal RNA (379 nucleotides) under uncultured bacterium. RNAcentral describes it as "partial 16S ribosomal RNA". It matches the Rfam family "Bacterial small subunit ribosomal RNA", at positions 338 to 734 of the family's 1533-position model. The record is from RNAcentral.